UACGUAGGGUGCAAGCGUUGUCCGGAAUUAUUGGGCGUAAAGGGCUCGUAGGCGGUUUGUCGCGUCGGGAGUGAAAUCCACUGGCUUAACUGGUGGCUUGCUUUCGAUACGGGCAGACUGGAGGUAUGCAGGGGAGAACGGAAUUCCUGGUGUAGCGGUGAAAUGCGCAGAUAUCAGGAGGAACACCGGUGGCGAAGGCGGUUCUCUGGGCAUGCCCUGACGCUGAGGAGCGAAAGUGUGGGGAGCGAACAGG
This 253-nucleotide ribosomal RNA is filed under the name uncultured bacterium. RNAcentral describes it as "partial 16S ribosomal RNA". It matches the Rfam family "Bacterial small subunit ribosomal RNA", at positions 524 to 776 of the family's 1533-position model. The record is from RNAcentral.